UAACUUCCAGGUUGUUUAGUCGUGCCU
RNAcentral lists this non-coding RNA (27 nucleotides) under Bombyx mori (domestic silkworm). Lineage: Eukaryota; Metazoa; Arthropoda; Insecta; Lepidoptera; Bombycidae. The record is from RNAcentral.